CACGUAGGGCGCAAGCGUUGUCCGGAAUUAUUGGGCGUAAAGAGCUCGUAGGCGGUCUGUUGCGUCUGCUGUGAAAACCCGGGGCUUAACCCCUGGCUUGCAGUGGAUACGGACAGACUAGAGGUAGGUAGGGGAGAAUGGAAUUCCCGGUGUAGCGGUGAAAUGCGUAGAGAUGUGGAGGAACACCAGUGGCGAAGGCGGCGACCUGGUCCAUUACUGACGCUGAGGCGCGACAGCGUGGGGAGCAAACAGG
RNAcentral lists this ribosomal RNA (253 nucleotides) under uncultured bacterium. Its description in RNAcentral is "partial 16S ribosomal RNA". It matches the Rfam family "Bacterial small subunit ribosomal RNA", at positions 524 to 776 of the family's 1533-position model. The record is from RNAcentral.